This 509-nucleotide ribosomal RNA is filed under the name uncultured bacterium. RNAcentral describes it as "bacterial SSU rRNA". It matches the Rfam family "Bacterial small subunit ribosomal RNA", at positions 28 to 530 of the family's 1533-position model. The record is from RNAcentral.
GACGAACGCUGGCGGCGUGCCUAACACAUGCAAGUCGAGCGGAGUCGAUCGACGGAAGCCUUCGGGCGGAAGAUGGUUGACUUAGCGGCGGAUGGGUGAGUAACGCGUGGGCAACCUGCCUCGAAGACCGGGAUAACAGCCCGAAAGGGCUGCUAAUACCGGAUGUGGUCAAGGAUCCGCAUGGAUUUUUGAUUAAAGGGGAAACCCGUUUCGAGAUGGGCCCGCGUCCUAUCAGCUAGUUGGUGAGGUAAAAGCUCACCAAGGCGACGACGGGUAGCCGGCCUGAGAGGGUGACCGGCCACACUGGAACUGAGACACGGUCCAGACUCCUACGGGGGGCAGCAGUGGGGAAUCUUCCACAAUGGGCGAAAGCCUGAUGGAGCGACGCCGCGUGAGCGAAGAAGGCCUUCGGGUUGUAAAGCUCUGUCUGGAGGGACGAAGGAAGUGACGGUACCUCCGGAGGAAGCCACGGCUAACUACGUGCCAGCAGCCGCGGUAAAGUACUCUAU